GGGGUCUGCCGACCCGCUUCACCUGCCGCAGAGGGGGCGGCCGGCGCCGCGUUCACCUGCCGGAGCGGGAGCGACCAAGGCAAGGAAGAAGCGGCGGCGCGCUCGGCGGCGUCUCCGGGUCCUAGAGCCGCAGGCUCCAGCUCGCUCGGAGCCGGGGGGCUGGCGGGGUCUAGCUGAAGAGGGUCAAGGCCCGAGGGACAGAGGGGACAUUUCUCGGAGUCGAGGACUGCCAGCACCUGCGAGGGCGGCUUGGAGACCCAUGAUGAUGCGGCGUUGGAGCGCAAGGGCUGCUUCCCCGUCUCGGAUUCCUGACAGAGAAGGGAGCUAGAGUGGCCUCUCGCCUUGGAGAACCACAAUCUCUGAUGUCUGGGAAUUGCAGAAAUACUUCCAGAUGCCUUCUUUCAUUCAUCCUGACAAUGACCAGGGAAGAUAAGGGGACUGGGGCUCAGAGAGAUUCUGUGACUUCUUCAAGGUCAAGAGAAUGGCAGAGCAGAGAAAAGAACCCAGGCCUGGGGCCCAGCUCUCCCUACCAUUUCCCCCGGAACAGGGACAGCCGGUUUUGAAAGUCUCCCUCUCAGCCAGCUGACUGGGAGGUCACUGUGAUGAAAGCCAAGAUCAGGGCAAGGCCUUCAGCAAACAGCUGAACCGCUUUCCUCAUUAUUUGAUAAGGAUCUCUGGUGGGCCAAAAGCCUGCCAGGCACCGGGGAAGAGAGAACUAGACCCAGGCCUGCCCUGGAAAAGCUCACAGCUGCAGUGGGGGUUGUGAGGGGAGGUUCCGUGGCCACAGGGGCCAUGGAAGAAGAAGCUAACCCCAGCCCCAGCCUUGACACUUGGGGGUCCGGGACAAGAAGUCAACAGGAACCCGCUUACAGUUCAUCUAAAUGUUUAAAAGUUAUAAAGCAGGCCAACCCAGAUAAAUAAAUUCUACCCUCUCACCCACGUAAACAUACCUUCAAGAGGACCCGGCAAGCCAGGUUCAAGUCAAUUCUCCAACUACAGCUCUGCACUGGAACAUGACUGUUCAGGGAGAGUGCGCCUUCUCUUCCCACCCCCAGAUCUGUCCUGCUCUGAGAGGAGCCACAAUCACACACACACACACACACACACCAGGCUGCACAGCCAAACCCCUUCCACACCCACACCCUCCAAGCACCCUUACCCACCUGUACACAGAGGGCUGUUCACUGAGAGCUGUACUCUCUGCCCUUAGGAGAUAAACCUCGGGGGGUGGCCUGUGCAGGCCCUGGAAGCAGGCUUGGGGCCCUCUGGGCAGGGAACCCCAAGAUUCCAGGUACCUAGGUAUAGUCAAGUCCUGGGC
Molecule: non-coding RNA, 1318 nt
Organism: Vicugna pacos (alpaca)
Lineage: Eukaryota; Metazoa; Chordata; Mammalia; Artiodactyla; Camelidae
Source: RefSeq, a predicted model, not a curated record